This 72-nucleotide transfer RNA is filed under the name Candidatus Dormiibacterota bacterium. RNAcentral's name for it is "tRNA-Gly". It matches the Rfam family "tRNA". Rfam says of the family: Transfer RNA (tRNA) molecules are approximately 80 nucleotides in length. Their secondary structure includes four short double-helical elements and three loops (D, anti-codon, and T loops). Lineage: Bacteria; Bacillati; Candidatus Dormiibacterota. The record is from RNAcentral.
GCGGGAGUAACUCAACGGUAGAGUGCGACCCUUCCAAGGUCGAAGUUGCGAGUUCGAGUCUCGUCUCCCGCU